Long non-coding RNA from Zea mays, 3948 nucleotides. RefSeq lists it as uncharacterized. Lineage: Eukaryota; Viridiplantae; Streptophyta; Magnoliopsida; Poales; Poaceae. The transcript is spliced from 4 exons. The record is from RefSeq and is a predicted model, not a curated record.
UCUUCGUCGAGCCGUUGGAUGGCCUACGGCUGGCUCCUUGCACACGUCCGCGCCGGUGCCGACGAUGAUUAAGCUCGUUCCAUACAUGGCCUUCGGCUUCCAUAGUAUCUCCUCCGUGACGAUGUCAUUGCUGCUGCCAACCGAACACUAUCGUCGCCUCCACCUCCGCGUUUGGGCCACCGCAAGAGUUCAGGGCUCCUCUAGGGUUCGAGAUCAAAUCCGACCAGCAGAGCAGCAUCCUCAGCACCACGCUCGCCAUCCCCCUCUACCUCGGCACCGGCGUCUUCGCCCUCGGGUACACACCACACCUUUUCUCACCAUCUGAGCAUUGCCAAGGAGCUCCUCUCCAUCCCCAAUGGCACCCUCGCCUCGCCACCGACGACGAAUGGGUGCUUCAGAUUCCUGAUCAGCAGGAGAGUCGUUGAGGCUGAGACGAUGACGCGUAUGCGGCAAGGAGCUUCAGAUUCACUGCCAUUAGAAACUUACCGGUGAGGAAGGAGAGGGUCCAAGUUCCUGACCUCUGCAUGGACUGAGAAGGUCCAAGUUCCUGACCCCCUGCAUUGACUGAUUAUCUUUGAGUUUCAUCAUUAUGUUGAAAUUGGUGUGCGUUCAAAAUACUCAAUUGAUUCUCACGGCUACCGUGCCUCCUAGCGAAAUUUGCUUUUCGUUGGAGUAUCUGGCGUAGUAAUGGAAAAAAAUUACCUUCUACCUUUGAGGGCUCCAGUCCAUUUCGUUCUCUAUAAUUGUCACCUACCCUUCCCGAGCCUACUUUUGUUGCUACUAUAAGUAUAAGAAUGAAAAAAGCUUCAUAUCUAUUUGUUUCUGAUAUGAAUUGUGUAGCUUAGAGUUAUCUCUUAACUUACAAUCUUACAUUGGUGUAAAACAGUGACCACACUAAAAGCACAAAUGCAAGGUUUUACAGUCCAGUUGUGAUGCUGCUACCACUAACAUGUACAAAUAGGAAAGGCAAGAAAAUGACUUAGAGCAAGUAUUUUUAAAGAAAAAAUGAUCCAUUUAAGAAACCUUUUUAAUAAGUUACUCCUGAUACCAACUCCUCAAUCCGCGAGUGUCUUCAGCUUCGCUUUCUCUAUCUGUUGUACGCUGGUGUCUCUUCGUCUUGUGUGUGAGUUGGAUGAGAACUAGACAACUGGUAGGAACCACUCUCUGUUUCAGUUUCUGUUUGUGUUUCACUUCAGUUCAGGUUGUCUGCGCUCUUCUCUUAGGGAUCGAGAAUCAUAGGGAGGUUCCUCGCUUCUAUAAGAAAUAUGUGCCUUUUUGUUUCAUUUUCCUUGUGGAGUUGUAGUUCAGUUCAGUUCGUCUUCGUGCAUGGGGAGUGCUUGGUUCGAUUGUUCACAACCAUAGGUGCUAUAGAUUCGUCUAAGGCCAAGAUAGAAGUUUUUGUUUUCAUGAUGUUUUUGCUUAAGUGAUUAACCAAUUUAGUAACAUGUAUUUAACGUUUUAGCUUGUUUGGUUUAGAUAUGGUGGUCCCUCAGUAAUUUUGUAAUUUUUUGUGUUAUCUUUAUCCGAAAACUAAGUUGGUAUGUAGUGACAGGUAAGCAAUACUGUGGUGGUUUGGACCUCAGUUAUUGGCCGGAUGAAGGGCGGAGGCCAUUAUCAGAUCCUCGUCCACCUUUGGGCUACUGCUGAUAAGAGGACGAGUGUCAUACACCUAUCCAAUUCCCCCCUUCAAUGUGGUCAGUGUUGAAUCAUCUACGUCAUACAGUGAACAAGGGCAUACUGAUGAGAGAAGGGAUGACAUGGAUUUUCUCAUUCGAGCAUCAGGUUUUGUGUGCUGAUUAUGGUGUGGUCGUUGGUGAGACUGCGACGUCCUCUGUAAUCAUCUCUCUGACAAGUUAGAUUAUGUGCUGAAAUUUCUGUUAUCUUUGCUGGAUUAUAUUGUUGUGAAAGGGGCAUAGUACGAUGAAUUGGGGACUGAAAGAGCAUAACAGAGCAGAGGGCCUAUGUAAUAUAAUUUUAUAUGUAUAAAUUGUGCAAAAACAAAUUACCUCUUUUGGGUUUCAAUCAUUUGACAACCCUUGGACCCUGACAUUAUAUUAGUUUGCUUACCUUGACCUUGUGAUGAGUUUUGGAAUAUUUGGAGGAGGUUCACAUGACCUAACAACCUGUUUAGUAGCUUUGCUUCAGCACAGUAAACUAUAUUUAGAACAUUUGGAUGGUAAACUAUUUCAACCGUUGUUGUUAUACAUACAAAGGAUUUCAUUUGAAAUUAUCAUUUAUAUUUAGUGGUGCCACAAUCAUAUUUUCACUAGCGUUUGGCAAUAAUGUCGCGAGUUAGCAGUAAGAAACCAGAGUUGCAAAUUGUUGUUUACUGUCUUCUUAGCAGUAGCACGCUGUAGUGCUAAUUUAAAUGUUUGUGGCUGUAUAAAUGUUCAUCUCUGUCUCAGAUUUCUUAAAAAGAUCUUAGUUUAGUUCUUGGCUAAGAUUUCUCUAUAUAAAAUGAAAAUUUUUACUGAUAACACUAGAAUGGUUGAGCGGUGGGGGAACACUAUGGGUAUCCUUGAUUUUUUUCUUGCAUUGAGUUGUCAUUUGUAUCAGUUUUUAAUUGUUUCUUAUUGAGACUUGUUUGGUAUAACAACAACCUGGUGAUGUCUUGACAAAUUACAAAUUAGCUGUGUGGAGCCUGCUCGGGUAGGGUGAACAAAGUGGCUUUGUUUAUGGCCCUUUCCAUCGUGCUCUUGCAAGGAAACAUGAACUUGAUGGCAGCAAUAAACGGAGAAGGCGCAUGACUGGAGAGCCUUUCUGCUUUAUUUCGACCACAAUCCCAGAAACAAGGUGGGUUCAGUACUUCAAUCCUUUUUUGUUCCUUAGGACAAAACUAUAAUGUUUCUACUUAAGCAUAGGAAGUAUGUGUAUAGCAUGUUUUUCUAGCUGUGGUUUUAUAUAAUUAGGCUUAAGCUAAUAGUGGCAUAUGGGGAUGUAUUUUAUUCUUUAUUGGAACGUGAUGGGUUUUCUGCAGCGCUGAUGUUUUCCUUUGGUUUGAUAGCUACAAAUUUUAAUACCUAAUCCUUGGUGCUCUGCAUGAGUCGCAUUCAAGAUAAGCAAGGUGUAGCUGCUGCCUAGGUUCCUCGUCCAACGCUUGCAGCUGCAUCCCUCUGUCAGCCAGGCGGUGGUGGGUUUAAGGUUUAGGGUUCCUAUACAACUGGGAUGGAGCACGGGCCGAGUGGCUGCCUGCGUUCCCGGAUCUGCUCACCUAUGUGAGCAUGCAAGUGUGGGUUGAGCCUUCGGCGACCAAGGACAUGAUGGACAAGGUGAAGCAGGUAUGACAACGGAGGAAGACCGAGAAGUCCCUGCUCAGCUUGCAACGAAGGUUGGCUACGACAAGCGCAGAAGAAUUGAAGAAUAAUGGCUGUCAGAAGACAUAUGCGAGCGCUGGAAAAAGUGGUGAUACAUCAUCUGCUAAUGCAUCCAUGAUGAAUAUGCAGCAGAUUAUUACGAAAUUAACAACUCAGUGUAGUGAGAAGGCUUUUGAGUUAGAGGCAAUAUUCUUCUUGAACUUGUACUGUGAUUCCAUGAAACUCAAAUAUCUUGAAAUAGUGUUAUUAACAAUUGUUUGUGUUUUUUUGGGACAGUUAAAGUUAGCUGAUAAUCGUGUCCUCCAGGAGCAGCUACUACAGAAGGAAGCUAAAAUUGAAAAGAUGAAAUAUGAGCAUUUGACAAGGGAGGCUGCUUUGACCAAGAAUGAGCUUCUUGAAGAGGAGUACAAGAAAAAGUUAGAUGAGGCAAAUAAGGAACUAUCUCUGGAGAAUGAUCUAGCAGGCAUGUGAGUUCUUGUUGCUAAGUUGAAAAGAGGGGCUUUAGAUAUAUCUGAUUUGAGUGUUGAUGAUGGAACUAAAGUUUAAGGGCGUAGCGAUCGCAACACUGUUGCCUCAUAAUUGGUGUUAAUGAAAAAUAACAUGGUGCUGCACGGAACCUCUACUUUCUCUUGUA